RNAcentral lists this ribosomal RNA (1567 nucleotides) under Salmonella enterica. RNAcentral describes it as "partial 23S ribosomal RNA". It matches the Rfam family "Bacterial large subunit ribosomal RNA", at positions 689 to 2236 of the family's 2925-position model. The record is from RNAcentral. Lineage: Bacteria; Pseudomonadati; Pseudomonadota; Gammaproteobacteria; Enterobacterales; Enterobacteriaceae.
CGGGCGUUAAGUUGCAGGGUAUAGACCCGAAACCCGGUGAUCUAGCCAUGGGCAGGUUGAAGGUUGGGUAACACUAACUGGAGGACCGAACCGGCUAAUGUUGAAAAAUUAGCGGAUGACCUGUGGCUGGGGGUGAAAGGCCAAUCAAACCGGGAGAUAGCUGGUUCUCCCCGAAAGCUAUUUAGGUAGCGCCUCGUGAACUCAUCUCCGGGGGUAGAGCACUGUUUCGGCUAGGGGGCCAUCCCGGCUUACCAACCCGAUGCAAACUGCGAAUACCGGAGAAUGUUAUCACGGGAGACACACGGCGGGUGCUAACGUCCGUCGUGAAGAGGGAAACAACCCAGACCGCCAGCUAAGGUCCCAAAGUCAUGGUUAAGUGGGAAACGAUGUGGGAAGGCCCAGACAGCCAGGAUGUUGGCUUAGAAGCAGCCAUCAUUUAAAGAAAGCGUAAUAGCUCACUGGUCGAGUCGGCCUGCGCGGAAGAUGUAACGGGGCUAAACCAUGCACCGAAGCUGCGGCAGCGACGCUGAUGCGUUGUUGGGUAGGGGAGCGUUCUGUAAGCCUGUGAAGGUGGCCUGUGAGGGUUGCUGGAGGUAUCAGAAGUGCGAAUGCUGACAUAAGUAACGAUAAAGCGGGUGAAAAGCCCGCUCGCCGGAAGACCAAGGGUUCCUGUCCAACGUUAAUCGGGGCAGGGUGAGUCGACCCCUAAGGCGAGGCCGAAAGGCGUAGUCGAUGGGAAACGGGUUAAUAUUCCCGUACUUGGUGUUACUGCGAAGGGGGGACGGAGAAGGCUAUGUUGGCCGGGCGACGGUUGUCCCGGUUUAAGCGUGUAGGUGUGUGUUCCAGGUAAAUCCGGUUCACUUUAACACUGAGGCGUGACGACGAGGCACUACGGUGCUGAAGCAACAAAUGCCCUGCUUCCAGGAAAAGCCUCUAAGCAUCAGGUAACAUCAAAUCGUACCCCAAACCGACACAGGUGGUCAGGUAGAGAAUACCAAGGCGCUUGAGAGAACUCGGGUGAAGGAACUAGGCAAAAUGGUGCCGUAACUUCGGGAGAAGGCACGCUGACAUGUAGGUGAAGUGAUUUACUCACGGAGCUGAAGUCAGUCGAAGAUACCAGCUGGCUGCAACUGUUUAUUAAAAACACAGCACUGUGCAAACACGAAAGUGGACGUAUACGGUGUGACGCCUGCCCGGUGCCGGAAGGUUAAUUGAUGGGGUCAGCGCAAGCGAAGCUCCUGAUCGAAGCCCCGGUAAACGGCGGCCGUAACUAUAACGGUCCUAAGGUAGCGAAAUUCCUUGUCGGGUAAGUUCCGACCUGCACGAAUGGCGUAAUGAUGGCCAGGCUGUCUCCACCCGAGACUCAGUGAAAUUGAACUCGCUGUGAAGAUGCAGUGUACCCGCGGCAAGACGGAAAGACCCCGUGAACCUUUACUAUAGCUUGACACUGAACAUUGAGCCUUGAUGUGUAGGAUAGGUGGGAGGCUUUGAAGUGUGGACGCCAGUCUGCAUGGAGCCGACCUUGAAAUACCACCCUUUAAUGUUUGAUGUUCUAACGUGGACCCGU